AUAUCAAAUAGGGUAUUUCAUUCAUUAGAUACCUCUUACAAUGCUACUACGACUUAUAUAUAAUGUUUACCCUUUACUCCUAGCUGGCUAUGUGUACUAGACUAAUAACAAGAGGACACCUAGACAGGAAAAUAUCGGAAUACAAAUAAAAGGACUGGAAACGUGCUGGGCCAUAUAAUGGGCCAGCUUUAGGAAUAUUACUAAUACCCAAUAAGAGUGACUAACGACCCAUUAACAUAUUAAGCCCAAUAACAUUUAACUCGUCUCCUUUAACUUAGCGUAAUUUAAGAUCCGCUACAUCCCAUUCCCGUUUAAGAACCUUGUUAAAUCAAGGUUGCAAUUUGGAAAUUGUGCAGUGAAGGAAGUGUAAUCUUCCAAUGUUGCAUCUUCUGGAGCUAGAUUAGCCCACUGUACAAGAACUUGAGUCACCGCCCAAUUUCUCUUUUUUCACCAUGAGCCGAUCAAGAAUCGCAAUGGGUUCCGCUAUGAGCUGACCAUCCGGGGUGCAUAAAGGAGGCUCUUUUAUGGGAAAAACAUUCGGUCCAAUCUUCUUCUUCAAUUAGGAGACGUGGAACACUGUAUGAAUUCUAGAUUCGCUGGGCAAUUGAAGUUCAUACGCCACUGGGCCAAUCUUCUUAAUUACCGGGUAAGGACCAAAGAACUUCGAAGCCAACUUGAGAUUUUUUCUUAUUGCUACUGAUGUUUGUCGAUAGGGUUGUAGUUUGAUGAACACCAAAUCUCCCACUUCGAAUUCUCGCUCACUUUUUUUGCUAUCUGCAUAUUGUUUCGUACGGGACUGAGCUUUGACCAAAUUUUCCUUGAGUUGCUUGCAUACUAUCGGCCUUUUUUUCAAAGAAUUGGUCCACUAAUUCAACUGUCAAAUGUUGGUUGUGGAGGCUAGUAUCCACAAAGUGCUUGAAAUGGUGUCAUUCCGAUAGCUGAUUGAAAAUAGGUGUUGUACCAAAAUUCACCUAAAGGAAGCCAUUUGCACCAUUCCUUUGGUUUCUAUCCCGUUAUACACUUCAGAUUUUUAAACAACUCUUGCCAAAACAGACUCAUAAAAACAGGAUCCCUAUCCCAAGACAAUUGAGCAGGGUACUCCAUGUAGCUUCACACUUGAUCCAAAAAUACUUGGGCAAUCUGAGAUGCAUUGUAAGGAUGAGAUAGGCUUAUAAGGUGUCCACACUUAGUAAAUCGAUCAAUUACUACUAAGAUGACAUUUUUUCCUUGUGAUUUAGGUAAGCCUUCGAUGAAAUCCAUAGAAAUGUGCUUCCAAGCCCUAUUUGGAAUUGGUAAUGGUUGUAGCAAACUAGGGUAAGCACAACUUUCACCCUUGUUUUGUUGGCAAACUUCGUAUUCUUGGAUUGCUAGCUUCAUAUCCUGUAACAUCUUUGGCCAAUAAAAUACUGAUUUGAGUCUUUUGUAAGUGGCAUGUACUCCGGAACGCCCUCCCCAUGCUGUUGAAUACAUGUCUUGAAUCAAUUUUGGCCUAAGAUUCUUUUGAUUUCCAAUCCACACUUUUCCUUAAAACCUCAACAGACCUGAUUGUAAGGUUAUUUCAGCCACUGCUUUCGGGUUUAAACUGAGUUUAGUCAUCAAUGUUUGGACUUCAAUAUCACCAUCAUAACUCUCAAUUACAUCUUGUAUCCAUUUAGGUUGUGACACACACAAACCCAUACACGGGCCCACUGGAUCACCUUCUUUGGCUUCCUCACCUCUUCGAGACAACGCAUCUGCUACAAUUUUUUCUUUCCCCUAUCGGUAAUGUAUUUCAUAGCUUAAUCCCAUCAAUUUUGUUACCCCUUUAUGUUGUAAUGAAGUAGUGAUGCGUUGAUCUCUGAGAAACUUCAAGCUAAAGUGAUCUGUUUUAAUCACAAUGUGAGCAUGUUGGAGGUAAUGCCUUCAUUUUUCUACAGCUAACAACAGAGCAAUUAGCUCUUUUUCGUA
Lycium ferocissimum is the source of this 1947-nucleotide long non-coding RNA. RefSeq lists it as uncharacterized. NCBI's taxonomy places the organism in Eukaryota, Viridiplantae, Streptophyta, Magnoliopsida, Solanales, Solanaceae. The record is from RefSeq and is a predicted model, not a curated record. The transcript has 2 exons.